GUAGGGAAUAUUGGGCAAUGGAUGCAAGUCUGACCCAGCCAUCCCGCGUGCCGGAAGAAGGCCCUCAGGGUUGUAAACGGCUUUUGACGGUGAAGAAUCGACAGGAUGCGUCCUGUUUUGACGGUAGCCGUUGAAUAAGCACCGGCUAACUCCGUGCCAGCAGCCGCGGUAAUCCGGAGGGUGCGAGCGUUGUCCGGAUUUAUUGGGUUUAAAGGGUGCGUAGGCUGGAAGGUCAGUCAGCGGUGAAAAGCUGUCGCUUAACGAUAGUCUUGCCGCAGAUACUUCCUUUCUUGGAUGAGGAGGAGGCCACUGGAACGGAUGGUGUAGCGGUGAAAUGCAUAGAUAUCAUCCAGAACACCGAUUGCGAAGGCAGGUGGCUGUACCUUAAUCGACGCUGAUGCACGAAAGCAUGGGGAGCAAACAGGAUUAGAUACCCGGGUAGUCC
This 445-nucleotide ribosomal RNA is filed under the name uncultured bacterium. RNAcentral describes it as "partial 16S ribosomal RNA". It matches the Rfam family "Bacterial small subunit ribosomal RNA", at positions 354 to 796 of the family's 1533-position model. The record is from RNAcentral.